CCUACGGGAUGCAGCAGUGGGGAAUAUUGGACAAUGGGCGAAAGCCUGAUCCAGCCAUGCCGCGUGUGUGAAGAAGGCCUUCGGGUUGUAAAGCACUUUCAGUGGGGAAGAAAGCCUUGGGGCUAAUACCCUCGAGGAAGGACAUCACCCACAGAAGAAGCACCGGCUAACUCCGUGCCAGCAGCCGCGGUAAUACGGAGGGUGCGAGCGUUAAUCGGAAUUACUGGGCGUAAAGCGCGCGUAGGCGGUCUGAUAAGCCGGUUGUGAAAGCCCCGGGCUCAACCUGGGAACGGCAUCCGGAACUGUCAGGCUAGAGUGCAGGAGAGGAAGGUAGAAUUCCCGGUGUAGCGGUGAAAUGCGUAGAGAUCGGGAGGAAUACCAGUGGCGAAGGCGGCCUUCUGGACUGACACUGACGCUGAGGUGCGAAAGCGUGGGUAGCAAACAGGAUUAGAUACCCGGGUAGUC
Molecule: ribosomal RNA, 465 nt
Filed under: Vreelandella stevensii
Lineage: Bacteria; Pseudomonadati; Pseudomonadota; Gammaproteobacteria; Oceanospirillales; Halomonadaceae
Description: partial 16S ribosomal RNA
Rfam family: Bacterial small subunit ribosomal RNA
Source: RNAcentral